UGUUUUGUGAAUGCCAGUCAAGUUUGCACUGCAACUUCUCAUUUAGUUCUCUAUGUAUCUACGUACUCCUGGCUGUUUUGGACAUCAUGCUAUUUUCUCAUAUAUGACAUGAUAAUUCACAAUUCUGUAGAAGAAUUUUUCUAGAUAAUUUCAUAUAGGCCAUUUGGAUGAGCAAAAGUGUAUGAAGAUGUUCAGAUCCAAUAGAAGAAGAUGGCAGGUAGCUCAAUUGGAACUUAUUCCACUUUUUGAGUUUGCUUGCAAAUAUGUAUUUUUUUUUGUCAUCUUGCAAAAUAUUCGGCGUAGAAAUUAAAUUCAAAGAGUCAAAUACUUGAGUUUUCGUUGCAUGGUGAACUUUGCCCGGGGGGACACAAUGGAGGGAGGAAUGACAAUCAACAUAAAUAUUAAUUGUUCGACUUAGUGAACAAUCCAAUAAUUUGGCGAGCUGCAGAUCUAAACCACAAGACCAGUGAAGAAAGAAAAGUUAUUUCCUUUCAAUACCAUUGUGAACUGUAGGUAUUCAAACUAGCAGAUGAAAGGAACACUCUAUGCAAACAACGUUAUGCAAUCACAUCUGAUGACGGUUCCAACUUGCAAGUGACCAGAGAAUCACAAUAUCCACGAGAAGUUUUCCUCUCUAUAUUCGAUCAGAUCCAGUUGUAGAACCAAUAUUGUGACCCAAUUGUGUACUUGAUUAUGUUCCUGACGACAAUACUCAAUGUUUGAUCUAACCAUUUUUACUUGCAUGGCCUGCACCCAGCAAAGCAUACUGCUUUCCCACUAAUAUAGUUGUAAAAGUCAGUGAUGCAGGGUUUGAACGAUUUGUUAUCCAGGCCAAUAAUAUGCAGCGUCCUUUCCUAGCUGGCUAUACAAUUAAACUGCUGUGUAAAAACUACAGUGAUGGCACCUAUGGACCAACAGCGUGGAGCACCAGCACAUUUCCUAUGCACUUUUAGACGGCAGUCUCAUCAAGCGAGUGAGUUUCCUUCCAUCAAGUUCUAAGCGAUCAAAUAAGGUCCUUGCUCUCGAGCCAAUGCCAAUACCAAUUGAGAGGGUCUAAACGCUUUUAGGAAAGAAGCCUACAAUUUGAUUCUCGUCUCGUUUCACUUGCAUUUUCUUUCGUUCAGUCUCGUUCUGAGAGUGGAAUCGAACCACUCACUCCGUUUGGAUUUCGAGUCCUGUUUUGUGAAUGCCAG
This 1193-nucleotide long non-coding RNA is filed under the name Hordeum vulgare. RNAcentral describes it as "long non-coding RNA (HVUL_LNC002458)". The record is from RNAcentral. Lineage: Eukaryota; Viridiplantae; Streptophyta; Magnoliopsida; Poales; Poaceae.